GACGAACGCUGGCGGCGUGCUUAACACAUGCAAGUCGAACGGAAAGGCCCCUUUGGGGGUACUCGAGUGGCGAACGGGUGAGUAACACGUGAGUAACCUGCCCUUGACUUCGGGAUAACUUCAGGAAACUGGGGCUAAUACCGGCUAGGAAUCCUUGCUGCAUGGUGGGGGUUGGAAAGCUUCGGCGGUUUUGGAUGGACUCGCGGCUUAUCAGCUUGUUGGUGGGGUAGUGGCUUACCAAGGCUUUGACGGGUAGCCGGCCUGAGAGGGCGACCGGCCAAAUUGGGACUGGGGUACGGCCCAGACUCCUACGGGGGGCAGCAGUGGGGAAUAUUGCACAAUGGGCGGAAGCCUGAUGCAGCAACGCCGCGUGCGGGAUGACGGCCUUCGGGUUGUAAACCGCUUUCAGCAGGGGCGAAGCUUGUGGUGACGGUACCUGCAGAAGAAGCACCGGCUAACUACGUG
RNAcentral lists this ribosomal RNA (465 nucleotides) under uncultured bacterium. RNAcentral describes it as "partial 16S ribosomal RNA". It matches the Rfam family "Bacterial small subunit ribosomal RNA", at positions 28 to 507 of the family's 1533-position model. The record is from RNAcentral.